Xiphophorus hellerii (green swordtail) is the source of this 969-nucleotide non-coding RNA. Lineage: Eukaryota; Metazoa; Chordata; Actinopteri; Cyprinodontiformes; Poeciliidae. The record is from the annotation of a RefSeq genome assembly.
UGUAGAGCUGAGCUCCAUGUGACUGACUGUGUGUGUUUGCAUAUGUGUCCUGCCUCUCUGCUCCAGCUGUUAAGAGGUCAGAGUUGAUCAGUGGCUGUCCAGGCCUUUCAGAGCCACUGACACACCAGCAGCACAAUGAUGAUGUCACUGACUCUACUGCUGACCAUCCUGGGGCUCCUGGUUCAGGGAUCUUCAGGACAAGUCACCAUAACUCAGACUCCUGGAUCUCAGUCUGUUGCUCCAGGACAGCCUGUCUCUAUUCAAUGUAAAGUCAGUCCAAGUGUAAAUUACUGUUUCAACUGGUACCUUCACAAACCAGGAGAAGUUCCAAAACUCCUUAUUAAAUGCGCAAGCACCCGUCAUUCUGGAAUCCCUGAUCGUUUCAGUGGAUCAAACUCUGGGAAUACUGACCUCACUCUGACCAUCAGUGGAGUUCAGGCUGAAGAUGCUGGAGUUUAUUACUGUCAGAGUGCUCACUACAUCAACAGCAAGUGGAUGUUCACACAGUGAAAAACCAUCGUACAAAAACCUCCCUCAGUCAAAUUAAACUAACGGGUCUGAUACAGUUCACUGAUCCCCCCUCUCCAUCCUGCAUACACUUGUUGAGAUCAGUAGAUCUUCUUUUAUCAUCUCCUUCCAUGAGGAAACUGAUAGUCUAGGCAAUUUCCUCCUUGACUACAGAAGCAGUAUCGAGUUGACACUGCUAAGGUGCAGCUGCCUUCAAUCACCAUCUUCCCAUAAAUACUCAGGAUUUACAUCCACUCAUUGCCAGAUCAAAUGAUUUCACUUCAUAGAAAGCCUACCUCAGUCUGACUGAACAGAAACUCUGAAAAACGAGUUGGAAAAUGAAUAGGUUUGUUCUUGCUUUUCACAGUAUCCAAAUGGAAUCAAAUAGAAGUCAACAAAUUACAUUUGACACCUCUCACUGUAUAAUGAUCUGUUUUUAAACAUGAAUAAAACAUUGAACAG